UAUUUUGGGGGCUAGCGGUGUUCGGAAUUACUGGGCGUAAAGGGCGCGUAGGCGGUCUUGUAAGUCAGAUGUGAAAGCCCCGGGCUCAACCCGGGAAUAGCAUUUGAUACUGCGAGGCUUGAGUCCGGGAGAGGAUGGCGGAAUUCCCAGUGUAGAGGUGAAAUUCGUAGAUAUUGGGAAGAACACCGGUGGCGAAGGCGGCCAUCUGGACCGGUACUGACGCUGAGGCGCGAAAGCGUGGGGAGCAAACAGG
Molecule: ribosomal RNA, 253 nt
Filed under: uncultured bacterium
Lineage: Bacteria
Description: partial 16S ribosomal RNA
Rfam family: Bacterial small subunit ribosomal RNA
Source: RNAcentral